This is a long non-coding RNA of Elaeis guineensis (African oil palm), 1092 nucleotides long. RefSeq lists it as uncharacterized. Lineage: Eukaryota; Viridiplantae; Streptophyta; Magnoliopsida; Arecales; Arecaceae. The record is from RefSeq and is a predicted model, not a curated record.
UUGUGCUGGGUCGAGCAAAAAUGCUCAUCAUGUGGCCGGGGAUGAAGCCUCGAGGCGAUUGACCGAAGCCAUGUCCUCUUCUGUUUCCAAAAACCUCCCAACCCCUAUUACCACUUUCCUCUGCUGAUGGAAGGAGAGCUCGGCCCUGGUUUUCAUUCAAUUCCUUUCUCCUUGGUUCUCAAAAGAGGCAUUCUAGGGUUUGAAAGGUCUAUCUCCUCUGCUAUGAAUCCCGAAUAAAAAAUCAGGAUAAAAGAGCAAAGUCCAAACAAGGUUGCAUCAUCAAAGAAGGAAAUGAGGUUAUCUUGAAGAGUUCAAGAUGGCCACACAAAAUUGAGAUGAUAUGCAGAAUGCUUAUAAGUAAAAAUCCAUCUAAGAUAGUGGGUAAUAUUAUUCUAGAGAUCAAAUUUUGAGAGAUUUAUAUUGAUUUUGUAAGAGUGAGAAGUGAAUCAUUGGUCCAGAUUGAUGGACUUUAGCAAGUUAUUGGUGAUGCUAUUGAUUCAACAAUUACAUGGCCUUCUACUUUUAUUAAACUUGCCAGAUGCAAAGCUCCUAAUCAUUAUGUACAUGGUCCUUUUCUUUUACUUUGUCUACUUGGGAUAAUAGGUUCUUUUAUCAAAAUCUUAAAGGAUAUGUCUAUAAUUUUAUUCAAAAAAUUUAUACUUUUAUCACUGUUAGUUUUGUUAUAUGAAAAGCUCUUCUUGUUGUAAACUUUUAUUUGCUUUAUGAAGUUGUAGCUAGGUCUAAUUAUUUUGUGAAAGUUGAAUUCAAAAUAUUGAUUAAUUACUUAUUUUUAGUAUAUUAGGUGUUUUAAGAUACAACCGAAAAGAGAAAUACUAUGCAUGUUCGUAUUCAAGUUAUUAGAAUUAUAUAUUUUUUAAAAAAUAAUAUAUAACAUAUUGUCAGCGAUCAUAUUUGUUGUUAAAAAGCUAUUGCCGGGGGUCAUAUUUGUUGUUAAAUGUGUACUACCAAUGAUCAAAAUGCUACUAAACACUUCUAGCGGUUACAAAUGAUCGCUGGAAAAGAUUUCUAAAUCUUUGCCGAGCAAUUUUAACCAUCGAAAUAUAUUUUAUUUUUUCCAACAGUCAACAUCGA